RNAcentral lists this transfer RNA (76 nucleotides) under Acetobacter sp. Its description in RNAcentral is "tRNA-Thr". It matches the Rfam family "tRNA". From Rfam's summary of the family: Transfer RNA (tRNA) molecules are approximately 80 nucleotides in length. Their secondary structure includes four short double-helical elements and three loops (D, anti-codon, and T loops). RNAcentral also lists the same sequence under 1 other name. Lineage: Bacteria; Pseudomonadati; Pseudomonadota; Alphaproteobacteria; Acetobacterales; Acetobacteraceae. The record is from RNAcentral.
GCCGGCUUGGCACAGUUGGUAGCGCAGUUGAUUUGUAAUCAUCAGGUCGGGGGUUCAAAUCCCUCAGCCGGCACCA